Long non-coding RNA from Phycodurus eques (leafy seadragon), 892 nucleotides. RefSeq lists it as uncharacterized. Lineage: Eukaryota; Metazoa; Chordata; Actinopteri; Syngnathiformes; Syngnathidae. The transcript has 3 exons. The record is from RefSeq and is a predicted model, not a curated record.
ACUGUGCAUUCCUUCCCCUCAGAGCGGAUCAUCCUCCUCAACAACAAUAACAACGGUGACAUUUACAGCCAGGUCCCCUGGGGAGGCCAGGUUUCUUGUCACGAAGCACAUGCUGUGGCUCAAUGCACGCUGUUAUUCUACUGGACUUCAACAAGGAAGCACAAGCGUCCAGGUCUGGAUCCGGACCGUGGUCUGCCUGUGAUGUACCUCUUGACGAGAAGAAGUGCAGGAAAAAGUUCACCAGAGGUUCAUUCCUGCCCAGCAGAGGAGUGCCAAAGUAGGACUGCCAUAUUGUGGACUCAUGAACUUCAGGCCCCAAGAGGAGGAAAUGUCCUCGCCUUGGUGCUUGCAUGCAUGUGCACAGAGAGAGUAUUUAGUAUGCUUAACUGCUUUGGUGUGCAGCAUUUAAAAACACGAUGAGAUCAUCAUCAUUACUGGUCUCUUCGGCUGAUGCAUGGAAAACUGUGACAGCGUUGGUCACGUAAAUGGAGGAGAUAUUCUUGCCACUUGUACCAUUCAGCAUGUCAAAGAGACACGAAGCAGCAGUGCACCAGACCAAAGAACUUCAGUGUUUUCAGGACUGUUUUGUUUGCGUGAGUAAACUUCAAACCCACAGUAUGAUUGACCUUAUCUGAACUUUGGAAUUACAGGACAAAUGUAUCAGUGCAUGGUGCUGUCAGGCGGCGCACUGUCACCUUUCCAUGUUUAUGGUUUGAUAACAUGCAAAUAUUUUUUUUUUAUGCUGAAGGUAAAUGUGUGACAGCAACUGCUCAAACAGACAGUACCUCACGGUCUCAGAGUUGAAGUGUUCAUAUAAAUGCAGGUCAAUUGUAAAAUGCAAUAUCGUUUGGUGAUUUUAUCGUGUGGAAUUGGGUGAUUUAUUCUGAUUUAU